UACGUAGGCAGCGAGCGUUGUUCGGAGUUACUGGGCGUAAAGGGUGUGUAGGCGGUCCCUUAAGUUUGGUGUGAAAUCUCCCGGCUCAACUGGGAGGGUGCGCCGGAUACUGAGGGGCUAGAGUGCGGGAAGGGAAAGUGGAAUUCCUGGUGUAGCGGUGAAAUGCGUAGAUAUCAGGAGGAACACCGGUGGUGCAAACGGCUUUCUGGACCGUAACUGACGCUGGAGAACACGAAAGCGUGGGGAGCAAACAGG
RNAcentral lists this ribosomal RNA (255 nucleotides) under uncultured bacterium. RNAcentral's name for it is "partial 16S ribosomal RNA". It matches the Rfam family "Bacterial small subunit ribosomal RNA", at positions 524 to 776 of the family's 1533-position model. The record is from RNAcentral.